GACGAACGCUGGCGGCGUGCUUAACACAUGCAAGUCGAACGGAAAGGCCUCUUUCGGGGGGUACUCGAGUGGCGAACGGGUGAGUAACACGUGAGUAACCUGCCCUUGACUCUGGGAUAACUUCAGGAAACUGGGGCUAAUACCGGAUAGGAGCUCCUCCUGCACGGUGGGGGUUGGAAAGUUUCGGCGGUUGGGGAUGGACUCGCGGCUUAUCAGCGUGUUGGUGGGGUAGUGGCUUACCAAGGCUUUGACGGGUAGCCGGCCUGGGAGGGUGACCGGCCACAUUGGGGCUGGGAUACGGCCCAGACUCCUGCGGGGGGCAGCAGUGGGGAAUAUUGCACAAUGGGUGGGAGCCUGAUGCAGCAACGCCGUGUGCGGGAUGACGGCCUUCGGGUUGUAAACCGCUUUCGCUCAUGACGAAGCUUUGUGUGACGGUAGUGGGUAAAGAAGCACCGGCUAACUACGUG
This 467-nucleotide ribosomal RNA is filed under the name uncultured bacterium. RNAcentral's name for it is "partial 16S ribosomal RNA". It matches the Rfam family "Bacterial small subunit ribosomal RNA", at positions 28 to 507 of the family's 1533-position model. The record is from RNAcentral.